RNAcentral lists this long non-coding RNA (1646 nucleotides) under Salmo salar (Atlantic salmon). Its description in RNAcentral is "lncRNA (ENSSSAG00000111834.1)". Lineage: Eukaryota; Metazoa; Chordata; Actinopteri; Salmoniformes; Salmonidae. The record is from RNAcentral.
AAGGAGUUAUAACAGUAGGGAGGGAGUUAUAACAGGGAGAUUAAGGAGUUAUAACAGGGAGAUUAAGGAGUUAUAACAGUAGGGAGGGAGUUAUAACAGUAGGGAGGGAGUUAUAACAGGGAGAAGAUGUGGCAGACAUCCAUUUCAUGGUUCUCCGUUUCACCCAUAAUAUGUGAUUAUUAUUAUUUUUUUCUUUCUUCGUGACAGAUUGAAUGCAUGUAUUAACACAAGACACCUUUUAUGCAACAAGGGUCUAGCUCUGGUCCAGGGCUUUGUGAUGCUGAGAUAUACAUUAACCUCCUGGACCGGAGCGAAGAGGAAACUAUCCUCUGUACUAUUAGAAGUAGGUCAUCAUCACUGAACUCGCCAUCACUCUUGACGCUGAGACACAAGCGUCCAAAUGGUGUAUGUAUAUUGUACCCGUAUUCAAUAGGACUUCCAUAGUCUCAACAGAUACUAGUAUCGCUGUCGACCGUCCAGACUUAGGAGCUGGUGUAGCCUUGGAAACCCGUAAGGGAUUAGUCCAUGUAAAGACUUCACACAAUGGAACUGCCUCACAACUGUGAACAGAGAACUGCUUCUCUAAUUGUUCCAACAUUGUCUUGGGAGGUUUUUUUUCCGACGGUGAGUAGCGUAGGAAGGAUGUUGCUAGUUUGGAGUUUCUUGAUUGCCAGAUUGGAGACGGUUGGAUCCUUCUCGUGUGAACAGACUGCGCCAACACGGAGGAAGCAGGCAGGGAUAACAUUUUGUUCAGUUACUGUGAUGGAUGUAUCGAUACAUAUGUAGACAUUCAUUUAAUAUGUUAUCUAUGUUAUAUGAAAAUAAAUGUUUGAUGCAUUUGUCAAAUUUUUAACGUUUUUUUUUUGUCACGUGCGCUAGUAUAGUGUAAUGCCUUUCUUGAAUGCUCUUUCUCAAUAACAAAGUCAAGUAGAACAACACAAGAAAUUGAAUUCAGAAGAACACGAGAAUGUAGGUAAGCUAUAUACAGGGUAAUUUCCAGUACCAUAUUAACAAUGCGCAGGGAUACUGUAGUGAUGGAGGUAGAUAUGUAUAGGGGGAAGGGAUUAGGGAUACUGUAGUGAUGGAGGUAGAUAUGUAUAGGGGGAAGGGAUUAGGGAUACUGGAGUGAUGGAGGUAGAUAUGUAUAGGGGGAAGGGGACAGGGAUACUGGAGUGAUAGAGGUAGAUAUGUAUAGGGGACAGGGAUACUGGAGUGAUGGAGGUAGAUAUGUAUAGGGGGAAGGAGACAGGGAUACUGGAGUGAUGGAGGUAGAUAUGUAUAGGGGACAGGGAUACUGUAGUGAUGGAGGUAGAUAUGUAUAGGGGACAGGGAUACUGGAGUGAUGGAGGUAGAUAUGUAUAGGGGUAAGGUGACUAUAUAUCAGGAUAUAUGAUAAACAGAGUAGCAGCAAACGUAUAUGAUGGUUGUAUGUAAGUGGGUGUAGAGUCAGUAUGAAUGUGUGGGUGUGUCUGUGUGUGUGAGUGAGGGUAGAGACAAAUAAAAUAGCAUGGUUCAAUGCAGAUCAAUCAGUCAAAUGUAUUUAUAAAUCCCUUUUUACGUAGUCUUCUGUUGGUAGAGCAUGGCUUUGCAACACCAUGACAGUGGGUUUGAUUCCCAGGACUACCCAUAUAUAAAAUCUAUGCUCA